Molecule: ribosomal RNA, 775 nt
Filed under: uncultured bacterium
Lineage: Bacteria
Description: bacterial SSU rRNA
Rfam family: Bacterial small subunit ribosomal RNA
Source: RNAcentral
AGACUUUUUAUUUGAUGCUUGCAUCUUUUAAAAAGUUGAGUGGCGAACGGGUGAGUAACACGUGGGUAACCUGCCUUAAAGUGGGGGAUAACACUUGGAAACAGGUGCUAAUACCGCAUAACCAUCAAAACCACCUGGUUUUGAUGUUAAAGAUGGUUCUGCUAUCGCUUUAAGAUGGACCCGCGGCGUAUUAGCUAGUUGGUGAGGUAACGGCUUACCAAGGCAAUGAUACGUAGCCGAACUGAGAGGUUGAUCGGCCACAUUGGGACUGAGACACGGCCCAAACUCCUACGGGAGGCAGCAGUAGGGAAUCUUCCACAAUGGACGAAAGUCUGAUGGAGCAACGCCGCGUGAGUGAAGAAGGUUUUCGGAUCGUAAAACUCUGUUGUCAGAGAAGAACGUGUGUGAGAGUAACUGUUCACGCAGUGACGGUAUCUGACCAGAAAGUCACGGCUAACUACGUGCCAGCAGCCGCGGUAAUACGUAGGUGGCAAGCGUUGUCCGGAUUUAUUGGGCGUAAAGGGAACGCAGGCGGUCUUUUAAGUCUGAUGUGAAAGCCUUCGGCUUAACCGAAGUCGGGCAUUGGAAACUGGGAGACUUGAGUGCAGAAGAGGAGAGUGGAACUCCAUGUGUAGCGGUGAAAUGCGUAGAUAUAUGGAAGAACACCAGUGGCGAAAGCGGCUCUCUGGUCUGUAACUGACGCUGAGGUUCGAAAGCGUGGGUAGCAAACAGGAUUAGAUACCCUGGUAGUCCACGCCGUAAACGAUGAAUGCUA